GACGAACGCUGGCGGCGUGCUUAACACAUGCAAGUCGAACGAAGUGGCGAACGGGUGAGUAACGCGUAAUCAACCUGCCCUUCAAGGGGGGACAACACUUGGAAACGACUGCUAAUCCCGCAUACUGAAGGAGGGGAUUGCGUGGGAUUAGCUAGUUGGAGGGGUAACGGCCCACCAAGGCGAUGAUCAGUAGCCGGUCUGAGAGGAUGAACGGCCAAAUUGGGACUGGGACACGGCCCAGAAUUCUACGGGAGGCAGCAGUGGGGAAUCUUCCGCAAUUGACGAAAGUCUGACGGAGCAACGCCGCGUGAGUGAUGACGGCCUUCGGGUUGUAAAGCUCUGUUAAUCGGGACGCGGUACCGGAAUAGAAAGCCACGGCUAACUACGUGCCAGCCGCCGCGGUAAUUC
Molecule: ribosomal RNA, 408 nt
Filed under: uncultured bacterium
Lineage: Bacteria
Description: partial 16S ribosomal RNA
Rfam family: Bacterial small subunit ribosomal RNA
Source: RNAcentral